AUUUAUAUAGUUUAAAGUAAAACAUUACACUUUCACUGUAAAGAUAAAGAAAACUUUUAUAAAUA
This 65-nucleotide transfer RNA is filed under the name Prohamitermes mirabilis. RNAcentral's name for it is "tRNA-Glu". It matches the Rfam family "tRNA". Rfam says of the family: Transfer RNA (tRNA) molecules are approximately 80 nucleotides in length. Their secondary structure includes four short double-helical elements and three loops (D, anti-codon, and T loops). Lineage: Eukaryota; Metazoa; Arthropoda; Insecta; Blattodea; Termitidae. The record is from RNAcentral.